UAGGGAAUCUUCGGCAAUGGACGAAAGUCUGACCGAGCAACGCCGCGUGAGUGAAGAAGGUUUUCGGAUCGUAAAACUCUGUUGUUAGAGAAGAACAAUGACGUUAGUAACUGAACGUCCCCUGACGGUAUCUAACCAGAAAGCCACGGCUAACUACGUGCCAGCAGCCGCGGUAAUACGUAGGUGGCAAGCGUUGUCCGGAUUUAUUGGGCGUAAAGCGUUCGCAGGCGGUUUCUUAAGUCUGAUGUGAAAGCCCCCGGCUCAACCGGGGAGGGUCAUUGGAAACUGGGAGACUUGAGGGCAGAAGAGGAGAGGGAAAUUCCAUGUGUAGCGGUGAAAUGCGUAGAUAUAUGGAGGAAAACCAGUGGCGAAGGCGGCUCUCGGGUCUGUAACUGACGCUGAGGCUCGAAAGCGUGGGGAGCAAACAGG
RNAcentral lists this ribosomal RNA (429 nucleotides) under Gemmatimonadota bacterium. RNAcentral describes it as "Gemmatimonadetes bacterium partial 16S ribosomal RNA". It matches the Rfam family "Bacterial small subunit ribosomal RNA", at positions 355 to 776 of the family's 1533-position model. Lineage: Bacteria; Pseudomonadati; Gemmatimonadota. The record is from RNAcentral.